RNAcentral lists this unclassified non-coding RNA (212 nucleotides) under uncultured Ascomycota. Its description in RNAcentral is "sequence contains ITS1". Lineage: Eukaryota; Fungi; Ascomycota. The record is from RNAcentral.
CCGUGCCCGCGGGCCCGGCGGUUGUCUCCGGCCGUCGGUGCCCGCAUCCGGCCAAUCCGUGUCUAUCUUACCUGUUGCUUCGGCGGGCCUGCGGCCGGUCCUCUCGGGCCGCCCGCUGCCGGGAGGGGUUUUCCCUCCGGGCUCGUGCCCGCCGAAGGUUCCAUGAAACCCUGAUGCCAAACGUGUUGUCUCAGUGGGAUGAUAAUCAGUCA